AACGAACGCUGGCAGCAUGCCUAACACAUGCAAGUCGAACGAGACCUUCGGGUCUAGUGGCGCACGGGUGCGUAACGCGUGGGAACCUGCCCUUAGGUUCGGAAUAACUCCCCGAAAGGGGUGCUAAUACCGGAUAAUGUCUUCGGACCAAAGAUUUAUCGCCUUUGGAUGGGCCCGCGUUGGAUUAGCUAGUUGGUAGGGUAAAAGCCUACCAAGGCGACGAUCCAUAGCUGGUCUGAGAGGAUGAUCCGCCACACUGGGACUGAGACACGGCCCAGACUCCUACGGGAGGCAGCAGUGGGGAAUAUUGGACAAUGGGCGAAAGCCUGAUCCAGCAAUGCCGCGUGAGUGAUGAAGGCCUUAGGGUUGUAAAGCUCUUUUACCCGGGAUGAUAAUGACAGUACCGGGAGAAUAAGCUCCGGCUAACUCCGUG
This 433-nucleotide ribosomal RNA is filed under the name uncultured bacterium. RNAcentral describes it as "partial 16S ribosomal RNA". It matches the Rfam family "Bacterial small subunit ribosomal RNA", at positions 29 to 507 of the family's 1533-position model. The record is from RNAcentral.